UAAUAAUUUAUAGGUAUCGCA
Molecule: non-coding RNA, 21 nt
Filed under: Caenorhabditis elegans
Lineage: Eukaryota; Metazoa; Nematoda; Chromadorea; Rhabditida; Rhabditidae
Source: RNAcentral